Molecule: ribosomal RNA, 355 nt
Filed under: Drosophila sp. JFG-2010
Lineage: Eukaryota; Metazoa; Arthropoda; Insecta; Diptera; Drosophilidae
Description: partial 12S ribosomal RNA
Source: RNAcentral
UUAAAAUGUAAUUAUAAAUACUAAAGUAGUAAUAGUUAUGUUCUUGAAACUUAAAAAAUUUGGCGGUAUUUUAGUCUAUCCAGAGGAACCUGUUUUGUAAUCGAUAAUCCACGAUGGACCUUACUUAAGUUUGUAAUCAGUUUAUAUACCGUCGUUAUCAGAAUAUUUUAUAAGAAUAAUAAUAUUCAAUAAUUUUAAUUAAAAUUUAUAUCAGAUCAAGGUGUAGCUUAUAUUUAAGUAAUAAUGGGUUACAAUAAAUGUAUUUAAACGGAUAAAAUUAUGAAAAAGUUUUUGAAGGUGGAUUUGGUAGUAAAAUUAUAAAGAUAAAUAAUUUGAUUUUAGCUCUAAAAUAUGU